UAAAAACCCGCUAUACAUUCCCACGGAGAAAACAGUUUACACAUCAAAUUUUACUCUUCGCAAUAUAAAUAUAGAUAGCAGUUGUUGUUUAUUCACUCUCGUCAAAGUUUUAUUGAUGCAUACUGUGGAAAUGUUAAAAAAGGAUAGCAACUCGUAUAUUGCUCAAAUUUGGAUGCAGGGAAAUAUGGACAAAAAAAAAUGAAUAAAUGAAUAAUGCACACGAAAACAACUAACACCGCAGAUGGAUGGCUGAAAUUUUAGUAAUGCACUCGAAGUGUGACAAUAUAUUUCUGAUUGAAAGAAACUGGAAUAAUAUAUUAAUAGAGAUUGGUUAGUCAGUAUCGAAAAUAUGACAAAUAUUAAAAAAAAGUUUCACAAAAC
Molecule: long non-coding RNA, 381 nt
Organism: Xenia sp. Carnegie-2017
Lineage: Eukaryota; Metazoa; Cnidaria; Anthozoa; Malacalcyonacea; Xeniidae
Exons: 2
Source: RefSeq, a predicted model, not a curated record